Molecule: ribosomal RNA, 415 nt
Filed under: Shigella sp. FC1967
Lineage: Bacteria; Pseudomonadati; Pseudomonadota; Gammaproteobacteria; Enterobacterales; Enterobacteriaceae
Description: bacterial SSU rRNA
Rfam family: Bacterial small subunit ribosomal RNA
Source: RNAcentral
GUGGCUUCUGGAGCUAACGCGUUAAAUCGACCGCCUGGGGAGUACGGCCGCAAGGUUAAAACUCAAAUGAAUUGACGGGGGCCCGCACAAGCGGUGGAGCAUGUGGUUUAAUUCGAUGCAACGCGAAGAACCUUACCUACUCUUGACAUCCAGCGAAUCCUUUAGAGAUAGAGGAGUGCCUUCGGGAACGCUGAGACAGGUGCUGCAUGGCUGUCGUCAGCUCGUGUUGUGAAAAUGUUGGGUUAAGUCCCGCAACGAGCGCAACCCUUAUCCUUUGUUGCCAGCGCGUUAUGGUGGGAACUCAAAGGAGACUGCCGGUGAUAAACCGGAGGAAGGUGGGGAUGACGUCAAGUCAUCAUGGCCCUUACGAGUAGGGCUACACACGUGCUACAAUGGCAGAUACAAAGAGAAGCGA